RNAcentral lists this ribosomal RNA (668 nucleotides) under Bacillus sp. HA-mar-Is17-14. Its description in RNAcentral is "bacterial SSU rRNA". It matches the Rfam family "Bacterial small subunit ribosomal RNA", at positions 202 to 858 of the family's 1533-position model. Lineage: Bacteria; Bacillati; Bacillota; Bacilli; Caryophanales; Bacillaceae. The record is from RNAcentral.
AAGACGGUUUAGGCUGUCACUUACAGAUGGGCCCGCGGCGCAUUAGCUAGUUGGUGAGGUAACGGCUCACCAAGGCCACGAUGCGUAGCCGACCUGAGAGGGUGAUCGGCCACACUGGGACUGAGACACGGCCCAGACUCCUACGGGAGGCAGCAGUAGGGAAUCUUCCGCAAUGGACGAAAGUCUGACGGAGCAACGCCGCGUGAGCGAUGAAGGCCUUCGGGUCGUAAAGCUCUGUUGUUAGGGAAGAACAAGUAUCGGAGUAACUGCCGGUACCUUGACGGUACCUAACCAGAAAGCCACGGCUAACUACGUGCCAGCAGCCGCGGUAAUACGUAGGUGGCAAGCGUUGUCCGGAAUUAUUGGGCGUAAAGCGCGCGCAGGCGGUCCUUUAAGUCUGAUGUGAAAGCCCACGGCUCAACCGUGGAGGGUCAUUGGAAACUGGGGGACUUGAGUGCAGAAGAGGAGAGUGGAAUUCCACGUGUAGCGGUGAAAUGCGUAGAGAUGUGGAGGAACACCAGUGGCGAAGGCGACUCUCUGGUCUGUAACUGACGCUGAGGCGCGAAAGCGUGGGGAGCGAACAGGAUUAGAUACCCUGGUAGUCCACGCCGUAAACGAUGAGUGCUAAGUGUUAGAGGGUUUCCGCCCUUUAGUGCUGCAGCAAACGC